This 638-nucleotide small RNA is filed under the name Pongo abelii (Sumatran orangutan). Its description in RNAcentral is "retained intron". Lineage: Eukaryota; Metazoa; Chordata; Mammalia; Primates; Hominidae. The record is from RNAcentral.
GUGAGUGAAGCUGGUUGAGCCGUUCCCCAUGCCAACCCCCGGUGCCAGGGAUCGAGGAGGAGCGCCAGGACCUGACCACAGCACUGGGGUUAGUGAAGGAGCUACUGUCCAAUGUGGACCAGGAUAUUUAUGACCUGGAGAAAGGGGCCCGUCUGCAGGAGAUCUACAACCGCAUGGACCCUCGGGCCCAAACCCCAGUGCCUGGCAAGGGCCCCUUUGGCCGAGAGGAACUUCUGCGGCGCAGACUCAUCCACGAUGGCUGCCUGCUCUGGAAGACAGCGACAGGGCGCUUCAAAGAUGUGCUAGUGCUGCUGAUGACAGAUGUACUGGUGUUUCUCCAGGAAAAGGACCAGAAGUACAUCUUUCCUACCCUGGACAAGCCCUCAGUGGUAUCGCUGCAGAAUCUAAUCGUACGGGACAUUGCCAACCAGGAGAAAGGGAUGUUUCUCAUCAGCGCAGCCCCACCUGAGAUGUACGAGGUGUACACAGCAUCCCGGGAUGACCGGAGCACCUGGAUCCGGGUCAUUCAGCAGAGCGUGCGCUUAUGCCCAUCCAGGGAGGACUUCCCCCUGAUUGAGACAGAGGAUGAGGCUUACCUGCGGCGAAUUAAGAUGGAGUUGCAGCAGAAGGACCGGGCA